AAGUUCAAUGGGUUGAGUGUUUUGGGAUUUCGCAUACCUGGUAAAGAGGUGAUACAUUAAAACAAAUGUAUCCUUGGGGUCCCUGCAAAUGUAAAUAAUUUUACAACCAGAAUCAAUUAUUGAUGUGGGUAAGAAUGAAUAAGGAGCAUGAGUGGCCAAGAGAGGAAUUCCAAGAUGUCGAUUAGCGGAAAAAUGGGCAUGAUCAAGCUCCAAGAAAGGCACAACAUCAUGAGGCAUCUUGAAAAGCAAAGGGUUGAAAAGCAAAGGGGUGGUAGAAUCAUCGAAUGAAGUUCUUGUAAUAGUGGCGAAAGUGAGAGAUUUUAACCAGGCUGUACCGGUUCUAGGAGCACUAGAAAGUAUGAUAUCAGUGGGUUGAGCCUCAAACUGUUGUUGAGCUAACAUGACUCCUUGUAGGAAAGGUGGGGUGAGCCAAAAACCUUGAUACUGAUAUAGAUGAUCGGGAAGACCCCAGCUGUUCCCUUUAGGGAGAGUAGAAAUCAUCUCUUUGAAAGAUUUCUGAAACUCAUCUUCGUUUUCUUGCUCAACAUGGGAAUCAAAGUGGGAUUCCAUGAUUAAUGAGUGCAAGUAGUAUGGAAACAAUGGCUUUAUAUAUAGGCUGAAAGAAUUAAAAUCACAUACGCAAAUUUUUUGGACGUGGCGGUAGUGAAAGAGAUUGGGAGCGAGACGUGGAGGUGGUGGGUCCUGUCUUAGGGCAGUAGUCGGUCCUAAACCAGAAACAACCUCGUCAGCCUAAUGGGGGACUCCCAUUUAAUAAAAAUUAAUGAUUUUCAAUUUUAAUUUCGGCGUCAAAAAAGUUAUUGGAUUAGUUUUAAGAUUUUACGCUUUUUUUUUUACUAUAUUAGUUAGGUAAUUAUUCAAUAUACUGGAGGGUUUAAACUCCUUGUACAAGGUUAAAAAGUUGGCAUGGGUUUCAUUUUCUAUAUAAUUAAUUUUUAUUUUUUUACUAUAAUUUUAUAUACAUGUUAUCCUCUUAAUUUUGCUGGUAGAGUUCAAUAACUUCACUAGCUAUAUAGAAUUAGAAAUUAUAUUAGGCAUGUGAAAAUUACAAAUAUAUUUUUAAAAAUAAUAUACAAUAAAUAAUAAAUAUAUAAUUUAAAAUUAAUUAAUAAUACAUAUAAAAUAUAUACAUUGUUUUACUAUAUCAAUUACGUAAUUAUUCAAUAUAUCUGAAAGAGUUGGGCAAUUUACUAAUAAAAGCUUUUUUUUCAAAAAUUAUCGAAAUGGGCUCAUUUUUUAAUUAUUUACCGAAAUGGUCAUUUUUCGGGAAGUCGCGUCCACGUCAACGCAAUGUCAGGGUACGCGUCAGGAAAUCGCGUCCACGUCAGCACGAGAUGCUGACGUGGAAGGAAAUUGCACUCUCAAGGACGCGAUUUCCUUCCACGUCAGCAUCUCGCGCUGACGUGGCGCGAUUUUGGCCCGCGCAUGAACAGUAUCCAACGGUCAAAAAAAUAAAAUACCGGGCUCAUUUCGAUAAAUUUUAAAAAUAUAGGGUUUUUUUGGUAUUUUGAAAAAAUAAAUUUUGAAUCUUUUUGUACUUGUAUUUAUUUUUUUAAUUAAUUAACUCUUCAAUAUUACAUCAAUAGCAACAAGUACAAAAAAAGAUUCAAAAUUGUUACCAACAAGAUUUAAACCAAUGUACUAAGAGAAAAGAGCAACCAUCUUAACCAACUAAGCUAAACUAAUUAAUUGACAUAUUAUAGAAAAACUGUUAUUAUCUUAAUUAUAUUACUUACAUUCUAACGAUUUAUCGGACCUAUUCCAUACACGUGUCAAAUCAGAAAAAAUAAUACAACAAUUCUGUAAAAAAAAUCUGGUGUUUACUUCAAAUAAAUAAGGAAAAUAAUGAUUUGAAUGUUUCAAAAUUUAAUUUUAAACCGAAAAAAUCAAAAUUUAGGGGCAAAAAAUGAUCUUUUUCGAUGAAAACUGCGGCAAACCGCCUUCAAUUGUUUGUCAGUGCGUAGAUUUCGAAAAGUUAUUCGAAAUAAAAAAAAUCGUCUCAAUCGGACAACCGAGCCAAAAGUUAUGGUAUUUCAAAGUUUUCCAAGCUAAAAAACAUAAACUGUUCAUCCACGUCAGCAAAUCGCGUCCUCGUAGGCGCGAUUUGUGUCCACGUAAGCAAAGCGCGCUGACGUGGACGCGAUGUUCUGACACGUCCCCUAACAUCGCGCUGACGUGGACGCAAUUUCAGGGAAAAUGGCUCAUUUCGGUAAAUAAUAAAAUACCGAGCCCAUUUCGAUAAAUUUUUAAAAAAUAGAGCUUUUUUUUGGUAUUUUGCCCUAUUCUUAAAAAAACACGUAAAAAUAUGGAAUUUCUAACACAAAAUAUUCACUAACCUAACUUUAUUAUUUAUUUUACCACACUAACCUAACCCGGUAUUUUAUUUUUUUGUAUAAAUUAUUCUUUAUCUUUUUACCACACUCCGUAAUCAUCACAUGUUAUCUUCUCAAUUUGUAGGUUUUAACAACUUCACUAAGCUUUAUGCGGAAUGAUUUUAAAUUUUAAAUUUUAAAUUUUAAAUUUUAAAUUUAAUAAAUAUGUAUUUUUAUUUCAUAUAAUUAAUAUAAAGUAGUGUUAUUCAAACUAUUGAACUUAAUUAAAAUUAUAAUGAAUUUCAAUUUAUUUUUUAAAUAAUUACCUAAUGAUUUAAUGAAAAUUGCUCCAUAUUAAAUUUCAACUUUAUAGUGAUAAGUUUUGUCUAUUGGUUGAUAAACUAAACAAAAUUAAGGAUAGAAAAGAAAAGGAGUAUGGAAUUUAUAAUAUAAAAUUAUUUGAUAUAUCAUCCUAUGUGUUGGCUUGAUGGUCAGGCUAUUUAUUGUCCCAAGUGUGGCCUGGAUUCGAGUUGCUGUAGUUGCAUUACUAUUAGGAUUUUACCCUCCUUUUAUAAUUCAUCAAAAAAAUAUUUAAUAUAUUAGUAAAAGUUAACUAAAAAUAUGCUGUCACUGUACCAAGUGCAUAACAAGGUAUAGUAAAAAAAUUAAUUACAUAAAUAAAUGUGAUACUUGUCACACCUUCAAAUAAUUAGCCUAAAUUUUAUAGUUUGGAAAUAAUAAAUUUUAAUUUUAUAAAUAUUCGAUUAAACUAGAAGGUCUUAUGUGUUAUCAUCUGAUUAGUCUAUAUCAAUUUAUUUUAAGAAUCAACUUAAUGAACCAAAGAUUCUGUUAACAGAGGAGCUUAAUUGAUGGUUUUAAUUAACAACAUAUUUUUAUAUAGAAAAAUCUAACCAAAAUAUUAAUUUGUAAGGGAGAUCAAAACUAAAUUCCUUUAUUCAAACCUAACAAGACAAUGCCACCGCUUCCCUCUAUUUGAAAUUGGUUUCUAAAUAAUAAAAUCUAAUCACUUGAAUGUACCAAAUUUAAAACAACACAAAAAUUCAAAUGGAUAAAAUAAUUAAAGAAAUAAUAUCAACAAAUGUUUUAUAUUCUACAUUUAACAAACUUUAAAAAUAAAAUAAUAACUAUAAAUUUCGAACAUAAUUUAUAAAACGAGUAAAAAAAUAAGGUUUAAUAAUAAAUUUGAUCAUUGAUGUUUGCAUAUUUUGUCAAAAUAAUUCUAAUUAUAUUUUUGAACAUUUUUUAGCCAUCAACCUUUGAUAUAUUUUUUCAAAUUGCUUUUUCUAAUAGAUUUAAUAAAUAAAUUCAAGGUUUCAAUUUUUUUUCAAAAUGUUUCAAGAAUUAUUUUUUAAAAUAAUUAAAUUUAUUUUUUAAAAUUAUGAGUUAUUUUUUAAUUUAUUGUAUUAUUUUAAUUAUAAAGUAAUAAAUUAUAUCUCAAUAUUUCAAUAUGAAAUUCCACAUAACUCCUUAAAUCUGUUAGAAAAAUAGUUUGCGAAAAAGAACAAAAAUUUAUAGCCUAAAAAGACUCAAAAAUAUAAUUAAAAUCAUUUAAUGUUAAUAGCCAAAUUUAUCAUUAAAUAAAUAAUAAUAAUAAUAAUAAUAAUAAUAAUAAUAAUAAUAAAACACCAACCUACACUGCAAUCUAAUCACUUUUCAAAGAGAAUUGCAAAUUAAGUUUGAUGAAACUACAAUACAAGGUUUAAACAUAAUCCUACUCCUUAAUCAAAGGAUAGUAAAAUAGAGAUUAAACCCUACCAUGCAUACAUUAUUAGUUUCGAAAAUGGAUCUAAUGAAACAUUUCCUUCAUAUUUAAUUAAAACUUAAACCUGAACCACUUAAUUUUUGCUGAGUUAUUUGGUCUGUGUACUCAUUUCAGGGGUCAAAUCAUUCUUCCAAUCUCAAACCUUCCCUUUCCGAAAAUAUAUUUUGUUUUCGGUCUCCAGAUCUUACCCUUCACGAUGCUUCCCACUUUUAUUCACUUCCAAGUUGCUUAUAUUCUCGAAACUACACCCCUUUUUGCUGUUCCUCUAAUGAAAACGGACAACCCAUAAACUCUGCCAAUUUCUUAAGAUACAAGACAGUAUCUUCAUUCAUUUCUUCAUAUUUCAAGAACAUAAACUUGUCCGGAUGUUCCAAGCUUGCUUUCCAGUACCCCAGAACAUGGUCCCAAUAAGAUCCGUACCAACUUACGCCUUCACAAAAUAACUCAAACGCUUCAUCAAGUUCAAUGGGUUGAGUGUUUUGGGAUUUCGCAUACCUGGUAAAGAUGUGAUACAUUGAAACAAAUGUAUCCUUAGGGUCCCUGCAAAUGUAAAUAAUUUUACAACCAGAAUCCAUUAUUGUUGUGGGUAAGAAAGAAUAAGGAGCAUGAGUGGCCAAGAGAGGAAUUCCAAGAUGUCGAUUAGCGGAAAAAUGGUUAUCUUAAAAAGCACAACAUCAUGAGGCAUUUAAAAAGCAAAGGAGUGGUAGAAUCAUCUUAAAAAGCUCCAUGAAAGGCACAACAUCAUGAGGCAUCUUAAAAAGCAAAGGAGUGGUAGAAGCAUCGUAUGAAGUUCUUGUAAUAGUGGCGAAAGUGAGAGAUUUUAGCCAAGCUGUGCCGGUUCUAGGGGCACUGCAAAGCAUUAUAUCAGUGGGUUGAGCUUGGAACUGUUGUUGAACUAACAUGACUCUUUGUAGGAAAGGCAGGGUGAGCCAAAAACCUUGAUACUGAUAUAGAUGACCGGAAAGACCCUAGUUGUUCCCUUUAGGGAGGGUAGAAAUCAUCUCUUUGAGAGAUUUCUGAAACUCAUCUUCGUUAUCUUGCUCAACAUGGGAAUCAAAGUAUCACAUGCACAUUUUUUGAACGUGGCGGUAGUAAAAGAGACUGGGAGCGAGACGUGGAGGUGGUAGUCCUGUCUUUCUUCAGCCUGAUGGGACUCCCAUUUUGAAUUUCGUGCAUCCAUUCUAAUAUUUAUUCAAUAUUAAUAAUUUUUUAUCUUCAAUUUUAAUUUGGACGUCAAAAAAGUUAUUCGAUUAGUUUUAAAAUUAUUCAAAUUAUUGAACAUAAUUAAAUAUAUUAAUUAUUUUGAUGAUUAAAAUAUUACAAUAAUAAAAUGUUAAAUUACAAUUAAAAUCUAAAAAAUUAUAAUGAAAUUCAAUUUACUUUUGAAAAGUUAGCUAAUAAUUUAAUGAAAAAUUCUACAUAUUAAUUUUUGAAAAAUAUAGUACUUGUAAGGCUUUUUUACAAAAUGGCAUAUUAAAGAUAGUGGAGGGUGAUGCAUAAGUGGCACCACCUUUUUUUCAAAAAAAUAUAUUUUUAAUCUUUAAUAAAAUAAUUUUAUAUUAGUGGUGCAUUAUUGGUAGGUGGCACCACAAAAAAUACAGGUUUCGGGUUUAGUAUAUACCCGCUUAUAUAUACUGGAAUGGUACAUGGGGGUGGUGUCAUAUCAAUAGGCGACACUAGUGACCCCUAUCUAAUAGGCGGCACCGGUGAAGCAAAUUUAAGGGUGCUUUUAAUGGUCCCCUAUGAAAAAAAGAAGUAGUUUUAAAAAAAAAAGGAUAACAUAAGAGAAGAAAGAGCAGACACUACACCAGAAUAGGUUAUUAGCGGCGUUUUUUUAGGCCUUUAGCAGCUCUUUUUAGCACCACUAAAGGUGUUUGCAGCGCUUGUGAAAGCACCGCAAAAAAUGCCGCUAACAACAACGUUGCUAACGUUUGCAGCGUUUACAGAAAAAAACGCCGCUAAAGGUUAUGUUCUUUAGCGGCGCUUAAAAAAAAGACGCCGCUAAAGAUCAUGUUCUUUAGCGGCGCUUUCAUCACAAACGUCGCUAAAAGUAAUGUUCUUUAGCGGCACUUUUAUAAAAAACACCACUAAUUUUGGAAUUUUUGUAAAAUAAAAUUUUCCAUUUUUUCAGCCCUCCUAUAACAACAAAUCAAAAGCAACCAGAUCUAAACCAGCUAAAAACAAUAAAUUUAUAUAAUAUUUCAAAUUAAACAAAUAAAAUAAUAUUAAUAUCAAUAAAUAAAAGUGAAUUCAUACUUUUCUUUACAAAAAUGUUAAAAGUUAAAAUGAUAAAAAUAUUUAUGCAAUACACUAUGACGGCAGAAGUUGCGACUGCUGAAACAUCUUCAUCAUAAUCUAAAGCUGCUGUUGAAGUUCGUCGUACUUUUUGCUCUGCUCUGCUUCUCUCGAUGCCGCAUCUGUAAUGACCCAAAAUCCGUGGGCACCGAAAAAGUGUGUGUAUUAUCGGGCCUCCGUCUUAGUAAAUUGGGUUCGAAAAUAAUUAUUAGAAAUACUUACGAGAUUAGUUGUGUGUUUACUUAGGUUUUAGAUAGGUGAAUUUAGCUUAAUUAAGAAUAAUUAGGAAAGAUGAUCAAAUUGAAUAAAGAGUGAAAGUCUAAUUAUAGAUUAAAAGAAAGUUAAAAGGACUAAAUAGGCAAAUAUGCCAAGUCCCAUAAAUGGGGCGGCAUAUAUGCAUUAAAUUCAAGAUUUUGUUUAAGUUAUAUAUAUAAAUAUUAUAUGUAUAUAAUUAUUAUAAUUAUUAUAAUUAUUUAUUUAAAUGGUAAUUUAUAUUAAUUAUAUUAUUUUAUUAUGGAAUAAAUUAAAAUUAAGACAAAUGUAUGGUGAAAAGAUGGUACACGUGUAAUAAUAAUAUAUAUACACUUGUAUUAUAAUUAUUAUUUACUUAAAAUUUAAGUAAAAGAUAUUAAUUAACUAAAUAAUUAUAUAAUGAGAUUUUUAAUUGAUAAACAAAUUAAGUAGUGACAAUUGUAUGGUUAUGAUAUGGUACAAAUGUAUUAAUUAUAUUUGUUAUUAAAAUAGAUAUUUUAUAAAUAAUAAUUAAUUAAACAUAAAAGGAAAUAAAAACAAAGCAAAAGAAAAGAAACAAAAUAGAAAGAACAAAGAAACAGAGAAGCAAACGAAACAGGGGAAAGAAAGAAGAAAAAGAAAGAAAAAGGGAAAAUAGGGUUUUUAAAGCUUGGAAUUUAAUUUGGUAAGUCAAUCAAGUCCUUCUCUUUUAAUUUAGAUGUUUUAGAAGUUUUAAAACAAAGUUUUUUUUAAAAUAAGGUUGAGGUUUUGGAAGUUUAUAGAUUACUAAGCAUGGUUCAUGUUGAAUAAAUUGUUAAAUUAGGGAUGUAUUUGAUAGAAAUUUUGAUUGGAAUUGAAUAAAAGAUUGAAUUGUAAACUAAACUAUAAGUUUUGAAUUUUAGGGAUUAAAUUGAAAUAAAUUCGAAAUUAUGAAAGUAUGAUAAAAAUUAGAUAGUUACAUAUGAGUUUGGCAAGAAAUUGAGUAGCAAGAAGGUAUGAAUUGAGAAAGAAAAAUAUAUAGGUUUAGUUAGGAUUAAAUUGAAAUUAAAGAAAAAGUUAGAUAAAAAUUAUAGCAAUUAAAUUGUGUUGUGCUAAUAAUUAUGAAAAUUAUCUUAAUUUUUUCGUAGCUAAUAUUGCACCCGAGGCAUCCACGAGGAAAGGGAAGGAAAAAGUAGACGAGGAAUAGACACGAGAAUUACGGUUUGUAUCACUAUAAUUCAAACUUUACUAUUAUUAAGUGUUUAAUUUGCUAAUCAUGUGUGGUAAGUAUUUUAAGGUAAGUGUUUAAUAAAUGAUAAAUUUAUAAUAUGGUAUUGAAAUUGAAACUGAUACUGAACUGAUUUAUUGGAAUACUGGAUAUUGUUUUGAGUACUGAGUGAAUUGUGAAAAUACUGAAUAUUGUUAUAUAUAAUGCAUUGAUUUGUGAAAUUACUGAAGUAAUAAUUUACUGUAAUACUGUGAAACCGAUUGAAAUAAGGAAUUUAUAAUUGAUACUGAGCUAAGAUGGAAAUUAUACUGAAAAGUGAAUUAAAUACCCUAUUAACUAGUCGGGCUAGUCGGAUAUAGUUGGCAUGCCAUAGGAUAUGGAAGAGUACGGGGUAUUUGCCGGCUUACUGAUCAGGCACUUAUGUGCCGACUACUGUUACUGUUACUGAUUCGGCACUUUGUGUGUCGAAUACUGUUACUGUUACUGUUACCGACUCGGCACUUUGUGUGUCGAAUACUGUUACCGUUACUGUUACAGGUUCAGCACUUUGUGCGUUGAAUACUGUUACUGUUACUGCUAUUGUUAUUGAUUACUGUUUACUGGUAUGUUUAGUUGGAAUCCGUGUAUCCGCCUAGUCCGAGUCAAGUUAAUAGGGGCAAAUGAAAUAAAUUUACUAUUAAAAAUUAAACUGAAUAAUAUGACAUAUGUGAAAAGUGAGAAUUGAAGUAAAGAAAUAAGAAUGGUAUUAUAUAUAUAAUUAAUUGAUGAUAUAAAAAGAUUGAAUUGUUUAUUAGUAGUGAUAAUUGUAAUAAAAAGUAUGUGUGUGAUUUAAUGUAUAUAAUUAUAAAUUGAAUUAUAGUGAUACCACUGAGUAUAUGCAUACUCAGCGUACGGUUGUUUCCGUACGCAGGUUGUGGAAGUCAAGCACUGAACCAGCAUCCAAAGCCAGACCCAACUUCAGCAAACUUUUGGAGAUGUAUAUUUUCUUUUGGUAAUGUGGCAUGUACAUAGGAUGUGUAUAAAGGUUAUUAUGUUUUAGUAGAAAUGGUUAAAAAUGUUAGUAUUAUAAAUUUAUGAAUUAUAAUGAAAGAAGUUUUAUCUACUUAUUUAAUUAGUAUAUUGAUCAAAUUAAUUUGAUAUUAUGUUUAUUUAAGUUGAUUAGAAAGUAUUUGGAAUAGAAAUUGAGAAUGUGAAAUGAAUUGGUUGAAUUGGUUGUGAUUUGAAAAUGAUAUGGUUUUAAUUGCAGGGGUUUUAUGUAAAAACAAGCAGAAAUGUUGCCGAAAUUUUUAAAAAUUAAAUUAAAAAAAGAAAAAAAUGAAUGAAGUCAAUUAGUAAAAUAUUAUAUGAUUUUAUGAUUUUAUCUUAAUGUGUUUGAUAUUUAUUUAAGAAUUAUUGUAAAUUAUCUGAUACUUCCGGUAAUGCCUCGUAACUCUGUUCCGACGACGGUUUGAGGUUAGGGGGUGUUAUAGCAUCUGCUUUAAGUUGUAGCUGGAGCUCUUCAUAUUUCUUUUGAACCUCUACUUCUCUCGCUGCAUCUCAAUCACUUCAAACUUCCAAAAUCCAAAAAUCAAUCAACACAUCCAAUUUUCUACUAAUCUAUAUGAUAAAACAGGUGACUACCAUUUACAUUAUCUCAUUUUACAUAAUUUUAUAUUUUUUAUUUUAACAAUCUAAAAAUUGAAUUUAUUAAUAUAUUUGUAUUUAUUAUCAACAUAUUUUUUUUAAUUAGUUCCAUAUCUCUGUCAUAUAGAUCUAAAAUAUUAUUUAUAUAUUUAACAGUUAUUUUUUUAUAUAAAAUAAAUAGUUAAAAAAUUUUAAUUUGUACAUAUAUGAUUUAUAUAAAUGGGUUCAAUUACUAAAAUAUUAUUCAUAUAAAAAGCUAUAAAAAGUUAUAAAAAGUUAAGUGGAUCUCUCUCCAUGAUAAAAUAAUUUUUAAAAAAUACCAACAAGUAUUGAGUGUCGUGACAAUACACAUUAAUCACUUCUCAAUGAGAUCUGAAAAUUAAGUUUGAUGAAAUUAUAAUACAAGGAUUAAACAUAAUCCUAAUCCUUAAUCAAAGGAUAGUAAAAUAGAGAUCAAAUCCUACCUAUGCUUUAAAAAAAAGAAACUAGGCACCAUGCAUACAUUAUUAGUUCUAAAAAUGGAUCUAAUGAAACAUUUGCUUCGUAUUUAAUUAAGACUUAAACCUGAGCUACUUAAUUUUUGCUGAGUUAUUUGCUCCAACCGUGUGGCCAUUUUAGGCGUCAAAUAAUUCUUCCAAUCUUCAACCUUCCCUUUUCGAAAAUAAAUAUUGUUUUCAAUCCCCAAAUUUCCUUGCCCUUCACGAUGUUUCCCACUUUUAUUCACUUCCAAGUUGCUUAGAUUCUCAAAACUACACAUCUUUACAAUCUUUUCAGGCACCCCUUUUUGCUGUUCCUCUGAUGAGAAAGGACAACCCAUAAACCCAUAAACUCUGCCAAUUUCUUAAGAUACAAAACAAUAUCUUCAUUCAUUUCUUCAUAUUUCAAGAAGAUAAACUUGUCCGGAUGUUCCAACAUUGCGUUCCAGUAUCCCAGAACACGGUCCCAAUAAGGUCCGUACCAACUUACGCCUUCACAAAAUAACUCAACCGCUUCCUCAAGUUCAAUGGGUUGAGUGUUUUGGGAUUUCGCAUACCUGGUUAAUAUGUGAUACAUUGAAACAAAUGUAUCCUUGGGGUCCCUGCAAAUGUAAAUAAUUUUACAACCAGAAUCAAUUAUUGAUGCAGGUAAGAAAGAAUAAGGAGCAUGAGUGGCCAAGAGAGGAAUUCCAAGAUGUCGAUUAGCAGAAAAAUGGGCAUGAUCAAGCUCCAUGAAAGGCACAACAUCAUGAGGCAUCUUGAAAAGCAAAGGGGUGGUAGAAUCAUCGUAUGAAGUU
Molecule: long non-coding RNA, 10742 nt
Filed under: Gossypium barbadense (sea-island cotton)
Lineage: Eukaryota; Viridiplantae; Streptophyta; Magnoliopsida; Malvales; Malvaceae
Description: long non-coding RNA (GBAR_LNC021978)
Rfam family: MIR7486 microRNA precursor family (bases 1339-1425)
Source: RNAcentral